Molecule: long non-coding RNA, 6986 nt
Filed under: Marmota monax (woodchuck)
Lineage: Eukaryota; Metazoa; Chordata; Mammalia; Rodentia; Sciuridae
Source: RNAcentral
UGCAUGGGGGGCUGGCUGCGCGGCACCAGCGGCUCACACGCAGCUGUGUGUAAGACAAGGAGAGGUUACGUACAACAGGCAGUUAAUGGCUCAUACCAGCAAGCCCUCGACUUCAGUCGGCACAUGCGGCUGAAUUUUAAAGAGGUAAAUGACCUUGCAGCCGGGAGCUUUAACUAUGUGCUUUUACCUAUUUGUACCUGGAUAAGUAAACAUUUGCAGCAUGCCAAAAGGCCCCCGAAAGCACUAUUGUAGCCAGAGGCUAAUCCCUUUCUCUCUGGAUGAAAGACUUCAAAACAAACCAGGGGGUAAAAAAUCAUUUUCUGCCUCAAGUAGCAGAAAGGUAAAGGGGGGCAAUGGUGAUAAUGACUUCCAUUUGUUAUAACUUUCAGAAGUCACCAAGGUUCCAGUCCUAACCAGCUGCCCAUAUUUAGGAUUCUACUUUCCAAGAAGAAUGACAGAAACCCAGGGCCUUCAGACACAGGGAAUGGUUGUAGGCAGAGUCUCACAGAACUGCCGCCAUUUGUCAGUGCAAUCCAACAUAAGGAAUGAACAUCUCCAUGCUUGUUCGACUACCCAAAAGGGUUGCUCUCCCAACUGCUGUCACUCAGGGGCAAGAGCAGGCCAAUCUCUGUUCUCCUCUGCUUUAACCUUACAUCAGCAGGGAUGUAUUCAGGCAGUCAAGGCCUCCAAACACAGGUUCCCUGCCAGCUGCCCGGGGGGAGGGUUUUCAUUCCAAGUGAAGGCCUCUUUGGAUACCUCCCCCUGCAGCAGGAUCACCUGAGCCAUCUCUGAAAUAGUGGCUCAGCAUCCCAAAUUCUUUCCAAAGAGUGGAAUAUUUGUGAUUUACAAUGUGAGCAGGAACUUUGGUAAUGCUGUUAUUUUAAGAACUCGUCAAUCAGUAGAGAUUAAGAUAACUUUUAUUGCAACAUAAACUGAGAUUGCCAUGAGAACAGACAGAAGAUGUCUAUGGAACAUUUAAGGCAUUUCACAGGCCAUGAAUCAAUAGAGGAUGGUUGGGUGGGGUGAAGAGAGCCAUGGACUAAGAGCUGGGUGUUCUAGACUCUUCCACCCUGUGGUCCUCAUGAGCUGCUUGACUCUCAGCAUGUCACACACCUGAGAUCACAAUCCCUCCUACGACCACUGAGUUCCUACUAUGUGUCAGGAACUACUCUGGAUGCUGAAAAUAAGCACAGUGGGCUGGAUGACCAGUAGGCAUCAUUCAUGUACAUACACGCAAAUGAAUUAAUAAACAAGAAAAGCUGCACUCUGGUGCCAGCCGCCAUCUGUUGAACCAAAAUAAUCUUUAAAUGGCCAGAAAUGCUUUCUUCCCUGUGAUUCAGUUAAUAUAGGUCAGCCUAAUGAGGUUGGUUUAUAUCCAUGAGAGAAAACAGCACUCCUCAGUCCAAUAUACGGUUUUAAUAAACUUUAUUAAAUUUCCAUUGAUCCAUAUGCAAAAAUAAUUUGUUUACAAUUUGAACUCAGCCUACUAAAUGGUGUCUAACUCAAUAAAGGAAGAGGCUGAGAAACAACAGCUGUAUGGCUAUUAACACAUUAUGCCAUUAAAAACACUAAACAGUUGGGUUUGGGGAAGGAGUCAAAGUUAACCCUUGGAAUAUCUCUAAACCAGACAUCAAUUUGAAUUUGCAAUAGGAAGCUAGGAACUUGGAAAUUAACUUCUCUCCACCUUAUGAACAAACCUGCAAGAACAGGGCCUCUACCUAUGGCUUUGCUGCUUAGCCCCCUAGGAACUGCCUCUAAAUGUACAAACUCAGCCUCAGGCAGAGAUGACAAUAGGGUGUUAGCAUUUAGAAGGAUGUCUUAAUAAUAAGCAAAGUAGGAUCAUUUGAUAGUUAAUAUAAUUCACAUGGCAUCCUACACUUUAGAAACUUAAGUAAAUUGUUUAGUUGCAACCAGGGUCAAUGAGGCCAGGGUCAGGGCAUAUUUCUUUUCAGCCAGUCAGUUCUCUGUGGUGAUCACAUCUGUAAUCCAAGCAGUAAACCAAUAACAAGCAUUCACUGAGAUCUAAGGAAGGCAAAUCCCAAAUUAUAUAUUGUAGAGAUGGACAAUAAAAUCAAGAGACAUGAAAAAUUAAGAACAAUCAAGCGCUAUACUGUAUAAUUCUAGGGAUGUAUCAGGUCCAGAGAAAAAAGACGAGUGAAGAGUAACAACAAACACAAGACUAGGAAGGAAAUGGGAUGGAACUGUGCCUUAAAGAAGGAUAAGGUUUCCAUGGAUGCUAGAAGAAAAUGAAGGGUCAAGAGAGAAUUGGAGUGGGGACUGCCGAGGGCUGGGGGAGAAACAGCAGAGAUAACUUAAGAGUGGGAGGGUGGGGCAAUGAGGAUCCUGUUAGUCCUUUUAUUAUUUAUUCUUUAUAGGGAUUACAAGGGAGGAGAACCAGAAAUGACUAGUGACUAUCCAUCAUACUAUUGUAAAAGCAGGGGACACACCCCAAGAGGCAGCAGCAGCAGUGUUGAGGAAAGAUAGUUCCAGUUUUAGAAAACCAGAUUUUGCCUGGUAUCCAGAUUAGUGACCACGUGACAUUUCUUACUUAGAACUCUAAGUUAGAAACAUUUCUGGUAACUUAAAGAUUAUUUUGGUCUGCCAGAGGAUGGCUAGCACCCAUGCAGCUUUUCUUAGGUAUUAAUUCAUUUGCAUGCACAUUGAUACCCAGUGAUCAUCUGACCCACCGUGAAUAUUUUUAUGUGGUAAUCUGAAUAUAAACAAGAAAAUGAAUGAAAAUAAUGAAGGCAAAUCUUGGCUUUCUCAUUAUAACAGUGAAUUUGAACUAGCGGGUGACUGGUCCAGCUUCCCACAUGGUUAUAGAUACCUCUUGGACAACACCUUACUGAAAUGAUCCUCUAGCUCUAGUCUCAGCACUUUGGUCCAAUAGGCCUUUGCGUAUCUUCAAGGUGGCACCUCAUCCUGUUGAAUAAGAAUGCUUUAUAAAGCUUGCAUUUUACAUUGUGCCUAAGCUUCCCUAAUACCAUUAACCCACAGUCCUAGGUUUCUCCUGUAGAAACUCUCUAUCUGUAUCCACUCAUUUCGGCUUUAGUUAUUUAAAAGAAGAAUCUAUGUAUCACCUAUCUCCUCUAUUCUAGGUCAAGUAUUUCCAUGAUAUUCAACAUCUUGGUCCCUCUUCUAAAGAUGACCACUAGUUUUUCUAUUUUUCUGAAAACAUGAAGCCCUGAACUGAACCUCGUCCUCUAGAUCACAUGUGAAUUGUGUGGAUCUCAAGAGGACACUGAACUUGACCCAAAGCCUCCCUUAUACCCAAAUCAGCAAUAUCUUUCCAAGCUAUAGCCUAUGACAGUACACCAAAUAUCAAAUAAAAUAACCCACCGCCUCUGAUAUGAACAACUGCAAAGCCAGACAUCUCAAGCAUAGACUUCCACAAUUGAUUUUUUUUUCUUUUAAAUAUAGAGCAAGGACUUCAAAUUUAGAAUCCUAUUAAAUUGUGUCUGUUAGGUGUCAGACAAUGUUUAGCUUGCUGAAACCACUUGGAACCAUGACCUAAAACCUCUGGAAUGUCCUGACCACCCUCACUCUGUAUUUUGAGAUUUAAGAAACAAGGCCCCUUCCAGCCCCUUAAAAAUUAUGUUUACUAGGUGAAGAACAAGGAGGAAAUCAAGUCUGAAGCUAAGAUAUGUGGACAAAACCUAGGUUUAUUAAGAAAGGAGAUAAGACUCAUUCAUGUUCUUUGGAAACUGUGAAAAUAGGCGCCGCUAACUUCACUAGUAUGAAGAAAAACAUGCAGAUGAACCAUGUUACUGUUCUUUUGAAGACCUAUGUGUAUUAGAUGUGGAGCAAUUGGCCAAACAAAUAACUUCCAGUGUGAGCUCUCUCAACUUCGUCAGGAAUUUUAAAAAGAAAAAUUGAAAACUAUCCAAAUGACCCUAUUGCUUUUGGAAAGAUGAAUACAAACACAGCCUGAACAAAAGAAACACAGUUCACCUUGGUCAUUGGCUCAAGAACUUAAUAGCAAACUUAGAACUUGUUCUUCCCCCAAGAGAUUGCCACAUGGAUUUAUGAACCAACAUCUGGACAACCAAUACUGGAACAGCCAUGCUUGUCACUUCCUCCCCUACUAAGGGGAGUGGGAAGGUAUAUUUACUGUUGACACUAUUAUUAAGAACAAGAAUCCAAACAACCCCUAAGUGUCAUACCACGGCUGAAGAAUAGCUAUCAAAUCCAAUAACUGAGAAUACAAACAUGAAUGGCUUCAUUAUGAGUGACAAGAACCUAAAUAUUAUAUUACAACAAAGCAGACAAUAUGCAUAUUUAAGGGUCCUGAGUUAUUUCUCAGAGAUAAAUGUGAGGAAAGGAUGACUGCUAGAACCAUCUUUCAUACCCAGCUGGAAUCAUAUAUGCAAAAGACAAAGUAACAUGGGAGCUUUACAAUGUUUGCAGAAAUCGUAAAUGACCUUGCCACAUAAGACUUUGGCUCAUUAAUUUGACUAAUUACAGAGACCCCUAACUCCUAAUAGUUAUGUCCCCAAGGAUUGAACAUGAAGAACCAAUCACAUAGUUGUUGAAACUCUUAGAGUACCUCAUAAAAGCUAAAUUAUGGUGCCACCAACCUAGGCCAAAUCACCUUUUUGAUACCACUAGGAAGAUAUUUAGGAGUAAAAAUCUGAAAUAACAUCAAUAUAAAAAUGAGAUUCCAUUGUAUAAUUUUUCACAUUUUUUCCAAAUGUUACAAUAAAAUUACCUUUUUCAGUAGCCUCAUCAAUCUCAUGAGCAUCAUAAGGCAACUGUUAUACUUCCUUUUAUAGAUUUGGAGCUAAAGAGAUAAAUGGAUAUUUGCCUAAAGCUAUAUAAUGAUAAAAACACACAGCCUGUUUUCCUUUUUACAAAUUUACAAACACAGCAGUCCUACUUCUUUGAACAAAAGUCUACUAUACAAUGUUGGCAACCAAAGAAAUGGAGCCACCAUGUUUAGGAAUGUCUGUGGCAUCUUAACGCCCUGCAAGGAGAAGGAAUAUGAAACUUCUCUAUGUUAUUAGUCCAGUGACGAAUCUGCAAAUCAAUUGUCACACAUUUCUGGUGUCAGUCAAACCAGAUUUACAUGGAAACACUGGUCUGAUUUACCUAGAAAGCAGGAGCAACACAAGUGUAUGCAUUAGGAAUCAUAAAGUAAUAUUAUGGGGACUUGUCACCAGGAACUCCAUUAGUUGAUAAAAAUGGAAGCAAAGCCUAUCAUUACUUCAUCAGUCUAGUCAAUCUUCAUUGAAAACAAGUAUACGGAGAUUUGCUAUUCUAUUUCCAGCUACAACACAAGCAAAGAUACUUCACAUCCAGCCACAUUUCAUGCCAAUUGCCCAUUAUAAGACAACAAUUUGGCCACAAAGACACUCUACUAGGAACUCCAGCUGCUAGCAACAUGGUGAAGGUAAAAAGCAGACUCAAUCCUAAAGACUGGGCACCCAGCUCUAUUCUGUUACCUCCCCAGCUGGCCGUUCAUCCAAUGGCCCUGAGCCUUUGUUUUCCCCUCUGAAAAACUGCUGGAUUCCUUCUGAGGAUUACUCUGGAUAUGAGGAGGGACCCCACAUCAGUAGGCUGUGUACGUGUUGUAUGAUUAAGAGAAGCUAAAAUACAGUCUUAUCUCUGUGACUGGUGAAUGCAGGCUCCUGGGCAACCUUGUCCUGACCUCUCCUGGCCUGUACCAGAUAAUUUAGUGCCACUAUCAUCAUUAGUAAACAUCCACUGAGGGCCUGCUAUGGGCUUAAUUACACUUGGAUUUGUAUGGUUCACUGGCAUUUUCAAUGGGUAUGUGUCUGGUUCUCUUUAAGCAACUGUAUGCUCAUCCAGGGACAAGAACCUGUAUAUACACAGGUAUAUAUUUCUAUAGACAUAUUAGCCCAGCACAAAACAGAAUAUAUAGUAAUAUAAUGUAGUAAUAUAAUAUAGUAAUAAUAUAUAUUAUAUAGUAUAUAAUAUAGUAAUAUUAUAGCAAUAUAGUGUAGAGGUAACAUGAUGGGCCUGGAAACCAAUCAAAGACAGAAAAAUACAAAGGUGGUAUGAACAGAUUUAGAAAAUAAAAACCUUCCACAAGUGGAAAAAUCUAAGAUUUUUUUUUAAAGAUGGGCAUAAUAGCAACAUUUCCCUCUGUAAUCUCAUAUAGAAGGAUGUUUAAAGGAAAAAAAAAUCUACCAAGGGUCUUAAUCAAGCUAUUCCACUUAAAAGCAUUAAUGCUAAGUAUGCAAACGUUCACCUGACUGAUCAUUAAGGUAUCAAGAACUAAUUUUCCUCCUUUUAAGAGCUUAUAUGUCAUAUCCCACCCCUUGGGCCUUCCAGAAAUGCAUUUAAAUGCCUAACUGGGAGGGGGAAAAAGAAAAAAAAGCAUUCCAGACAGCCAGGUGUUAGUGAUUCAGCCAUUAAAACUUCAGUGAUAAAAUAUCCCCCACAAUUGUAAAACAUUUCAGUCAUUAGAAGAUCAUAAAUAGAUUAAGAUGACAUUUUAAAUUAUUAUGACACCAUGUGUAUAAAAUGUACAUUGUUCAUCACAAUAUCCCAGAUGACUGUGACUCUGAUUAUCUGAAGUUAAAGAUGAAGUGCACGUGUUAUUUAUUUUGAGAUCCAACAGGGAAAGUCAGGGAGUGUACAAGGUGGAGAAAAGCGACAUUCAGAUGGAAGUGGGGCUGCUGCUGCAUCCCCCCGGGGCACACAAAGACUUUAGGUUCAUUUUGCAAUACCAUUCAUUUGCUGUUCCUUGAGCAAAAAUAAAUCCUUGUUUCAUGUUUGGAGGAUCAAAACUAAAGUAUAAAAGAAAACGGUCCAAAAAAAUCCAUAAUUCUAAAACCAUCAUUGAAAAUGUCUUGGUAUUCUUCUUUGAGUUCAUUGAAAGGUUUUAAUUAGACUUCAAUAUUUGCUUGUGUCUAAAACUUGAAAAGAAGCUCAUAACUGUUCAUGUUGUGCAUAUCCUCAACUACCAGUGAACUGGUCCCUCAUCACUUUAGGAUGAAUUCAAGGAGCACAGUGUGUCUCCC